CCUACGGGAGGCAGCAGUGGGGAAUAUUGGACAAUGGGCGAAAGCCUGAUCCAGCAAUGCCGCGUGAGUGAUGAAGGCCUUAGGGUUGUAAAGCUCUUUUACCAGGGAUGAUAAUGACAGUACCUGGAGAAUAAGCUCCGGCUAACUCCGUGCCAGCAGCCGCGGUAAUACGGAGGGAGCUAGCGUUGUUCGGAAUUACUGGGCGUAAAGCGUACGUAGGCGGUUAUUCAAGUCAGAGGUGAAAGCCUGGAGCUCAACUCCAGAACUGCCUUUGAAACUAGAUAACUAGAAUCACGGAGAGGUGAGUGGAAUUCCGAGUGUAGAGGUGAAAUUCGUAGAUAUUCGGAAGAACACCAGUGGCGAAGGCGGCUCACUGGACGUGUAUUGACGCUGAGGUACGAAAGCGUGGGGAGCAAACAGGAUUAGAUACCCUGGUAGUCCACGCCGUAAACGAUGAUAACUAGCUGCCAGGGCUCUUAGAGCUUUGGUGGCGCAGCUAACGCAUUAAGUUAUCCGCCUGGGGNGUACGGUCGCAGAUUAAAACCUCAAAUGAAUUGACGG
This 561-nucleotide ribosomal RNA is filed under the name uncultured bacterium. RNAcentral's name for it is "bacterial SSU rRNA". It matches the Rfam family "Bacterial small subunit ribosomal RNA", at positions 338 to 916 of the family's 1533-position model. The record is from RNAcentral.